This 754-nucleotide ribosomal RNA is filed under the name Saccharomycopsis schoenii. RNAcentral's name for it is "LSU rRNA". It matches the Rfam family "Eukaryotic large subunit ribosomal RNA", at positions 1 to 707 of the family's 3401-position model. Lineage: Eukaryota; Fungi; Ascomycota; Saccharomycetes; Ascoideales; Saccharomycopsidaceae. The record is from RNAcentral.
CACCCAGUUAAUUGGCUGAAAGGUUUGUGGUAAGAAGCCUAAACAAAAUUUUGUUUUAGAACAUAAAUUUUGACCUCAAAUCAGGUAAGGAUACCCGCUGAACUUAAGCAUAUCAAUAAGCGGAGGAAAAGAAACCAACAGGGAUUGCCUUAGUAACGGCGAGUGAAGCGGCAAAAGCUCAAAUUUGAAAUCUAGUGCCUUUGGUACUCGAGUUGUAAUUUGAAGAAUUUUUCUCCGAACAGUCCUUUAUCUAUGUUCCUUGGAACAGGACGUCAUAGAGGGUGAGAAUCCCGUGUGAUUUUGGAUACUGUUCAUUGUGAGAUUUAUUCGAAGAGUCGAGUUGUUUGGGAAUGCAGCUCUAAGUGGGUGGUAAGUUCCAUCUAAAGCUAAAUAUUGGCGAGAGACCGAUAGCGAACAAGUACAGUGAUGGAAAGAUGAAAAGAACUCUGAAGAGAGGGUGAAAAAGUACGUGAAAUUGCUGAAAGGGAAGGGCUUUAGGUCAGACUUGGUGUUUAAUACUCAGUUCUCCUUGUGGGAGCUGCUCUUGUUUUUCACUGGGCCAAUAUCAGUUUUGGCGGUAGAGCACCUCUGGAAAUGUAGCUGCCUUCGGGUAGUGUUAUAGUCUGGGGACGAUCUACUGCUGGGACUGAGGUCUGCGCAUUUUGCUAGGAUAUUGGCAUAAUGACCUUAAGCCGCCCGUCUUGAAACACGGACCAAGGAGUCUAACGUCUAUGCGAGUGUUUGGGUGUAAAAC